This 737-nucleotide unclassified non-coding RNA is filed under the name Hevea brasiliensis (rubber tree). The record is from RNAcentral. Lineage: Eukaryota; Viridiplantae; Streptophyta; Magnoliopsida; Malpighiales; Euphorbiaceae.
UGAAAACUAAGCUACAGAAGCAAUAUUUACAUGUUGAUUAUACAAUGAAAUUGUAUGAGAAUUUUCAUUGUUUGAAGCAAAAUAAUAAGUCUGUUAAAGAGUACAUAGCAAAGUUCAAUAACUUGCCAAUUUGGAUUGAAUUAUCCAAGAGUAACAAACACAUUACUUCUUGUUAUCUUGCCAGUUUGGAUCACUCUAUUAUAGACAAGAUGAGAGUAAUUCAUUUGUACAACAUAGAAGAUGCUUGCAAAUAUGUUUUAACGCUUGGGAUAAAUUGCCACAUAUAAGGAUAGCAGAGCGUCUAGAGCGCCGCUCAAAUGGGUGAGGGAGAAUGUUGCCUACUGAAGGUAUUCCCAACCAAUCGCCCCAAUCGAAGGAGCAGGGUAAUUGGGCCAACUGAACAGCUAGACAGCCAGCAGGCCGUGUGAGGCAACAUUGCAUGCUAGCAAGGGCCAACAGGCUAACCAACGCGCCCAAACGAGGUUGGGCAGGCAGGAAGCUUCCAGCCUCCAAGAGUCACCCAUUAUGUUCCAACACCUGCAAGAAUUACCUAGCAUAUUCCAGCACACCCCAGCAAGCUCCAAAGAGUUCAAGCGCGCCCCAGAGUUGCCUAGAAGGUUCCAGUGUGCGCUAGGCCAAUUGAGGUUAGACUGGAGCUUUCCCCCACCCGCCAAAAGCAUCUAGAAUUGGCUAGCCAGUAUUCCAAGUGAGGUUGAGAAGCAGCCAGUGCGUUAAAA